Molecule: ribosomal RNA, 386 nt
Filed under: Staphylococcus warneri
Lineage: Bacteria; Bacillati; Bacillota; Bacilli; Caryophanales; Staphylococcaceae
Description: bacterial SSU rRNA
Rfam family: Bacterial small subunit ribosomal RNA
Source: RNAcentral
CGGACGGGUGAGUAACACGUGGAUAACCUACCUAUAAGACUGGGAUAACUUCGGGAAACCGGAGCUAAUACCGGAUAACAUAUUGAACCGCAUGGUUCAAUAGUGAAAGGCGGCUUUGCUGUCACUUAUAGAUGGAUCCGCGCCGUAUUAGCUAGUUGGUAAGGUAACGGCUUACCAAGGCAACGAUACGUAGCCGACCUGAGAGGGUGAUCGGCCACACUGGAACUGAGACACGGUCCAGACUCCUACGGGAGGCAGCAGUAGGGAAUCUUCCGCAAUGGGCGAAAGCCUGACGGAGCAACGCCGCGUGAGUGAUGAAGGUCUUCGGAUCGUAAAACUCUGUUAUCAGGGAAGAACAAAUGUGUAAGUAACUGUGCACAUCUUGA